UCAUACGGGCCAAGGUCUGAAUAGAGCCCGGACGCGGGUAUCCUAACUGUGGACAAUUUUUUCUCCGCUGCGAAGAACGACUGAGUCUGGGUAACAGGUGGACUAGGAUGGCGUCGUGUCUUUCAAAUUUUGUGGAAACCGAGCCUUCUGUCGUCGAGCCAAUGUAGGAUACGAUCAAUUGUGUGUAGAAGAACGUAUCAAGUCAAAGCUGUGGUUGUAGCAUCUUUCUGCUUUGCUCGUGAGCUGAUUAUUGAUAUCAGACAAGGUCUGUUAGCUGUGAAUACAAUUACAUUUAACUGAACGACUGGUGUAAUAGUGGUGAAGAUAUUCGUGUUUUGACUGGACUUGAGUUGCUUUUUGCUCCUAGCGCAAGAUCACUUACCAUGCUGGUCCAGCGUGCUCAGGAUUUCUCCUAAGGUGCUUGGCGAUUUCUUUGCCAACCCCAGAAGAUCCUCACGACCUAGCGGAAGGGUACAAGAGAGAGAGACAGGGAAACACAUCAGACAUAUGCAGCAAUAAAUAAGUUUUGAAACUGUACUUGGAACCAUACAAGUUACAGCAAUUGUUAAUAAAACGACUAUUGGCAAUACUAUUUAUAGUACAGAAAUGUGGUAAUAACCACUGUGAUAUCCUUGAAUAUUGACUACAAACAAGACUCGGGUAUUUAUUGAGUACAAUAUUUUGGUCUGGUAGCAACAGCAAACUUUGGUUGAGUGAGGAAGAAGUUUAAGCAACCUUUAGGCAACUAGGGCAGAUCCAAAAAUCAUUUGGGUCUGGAGGUUCAGCUAAGCCUGCACACCAGUAGUGCCACCAGCGCCAACACCCAGUGUUGUCAUAUCCAAUCCAGUCCUGUAGUCUUUUAAGUCAUCAGUUGCAUCGUCCUUGUUACAGCCCUGACAAAUGCUUUCUGCCUCGUUGGAUUUUGCUUUCUUUGCUGUAGUACGUUUAGUUGUUUUCCUCCUGGCUUUUGAUUGCUCUUUCCUCUCUUUCCUUAAAUUUCACUGUUUCUCACAUUGCUCAAGUAUUUGCAGGGCAUCAUCUGUUGUAAUAGACUGGCCAUAGUACUGUGGUUUGAUUCUGUCAGUUGUUUUUUGGGCAACAUAUUUGGCCUGAAAAUGCUCAGCAAAGAUAGUUGUCACUUUUGUUGUGAUAGGGGUUGCUGUGGUGCAUUCCUGAUGUGAACAUUCGCUAGACUGGAAAGGAACAGCUGUUUGGAGUCUGUCAUUUUAAUGACUGCUCUAUUCAGAGGAUAAAGCCCAGUUGCUCUAAAGCCACUGACCAGGUAUUCAGGCUUCAUGCUUUCUUGCCACAGCUGACUGAGAAGAGAGGAGAAAUUAUGCUUGGAGACUGCUGCACUACAGUAAGUAGUUUUGAACUCUUUCAGAAUUCUAGCCCAACUCUUUGACUGCUCCAAGCACACUCACAUCUAGAGGCUGAAGUAAGUGUGUGGUAUGAGGUGGUAAACAGUAUAGAAUGACAUUCUCACACCUUGCUCUAGUCACGAUAUCAACUAAUAUUUGUGAUCCAUGUCCAUCGCAAAACAGGACACUGACACCACUCUCACGCAACUCAGAGGUAAGGGGCAGGAACACAGAACUAAACCAUUCUGCAAAUUGAGUUUCUUCCAUCCAUCCAGACUUUCUCACUGUACAUGUGUAUCGAGCAUUUUAGGACCACCCACUGUCCAUCCUUUGUUGAACGUUUGUCCUUUGAAGACGACGUACGGACGACAAUAGGAAAUUACUGCUCCUAUUGCAGAGCCACAAGCUAAAACAGUGACAUUAUCUCUUUCAAAUCCACUCCCGAUUUUGUCACAACUCUGUCUCCUUUCCUGCAGAUUACUUUCUUAGAAACAACAGAUGUACACAGGCCAGUUUCAUCACAGUUCCACAUUCUACGUGCCACCUCACUGUAACUUUCCCCCACUAAACCUUGUCUCGUGAAGACGUCUGUCAGUUGAGCAAAACAUUUAUCAAUAACAGCAGGAGUGGCAGAAAGAGCUCGUUGCACAGUUAAAUGUCCUGGGUUUUUUCUCUGCUAACUCACUCCACCGUUUUAGGAAACCAGACCACCACUGGCAUGCCGUUGAAAGGACUGCUCCUCCCACACUGUUUCAGAUAAUAUUA
This is a long non-coding RNA of Corticium candelabrum, 2126 nucleotides long. RefSeq lists it as uncharacterized. The transcript has 4 exons. NCBI's taxonomy places the organism in Eukaryota, Metazoa, Porifera, Homoscleromorpha, Homosclerophorida, Plakinidae. The record is from RefSeq and is a predicted model, not a curated record.